RNAcentral lists this ribosomal RNA (236 nucleotides) under uncultured bacterium. RNAcentral describes it as "partial 16S ribosomal RNA". It matches the Rfam family "Bacterial small subunit ribosomal RNA", at positions 100 to 334 of the family's 1533-position model. The record is from RNAcentral.
CGGGACGGGUGAGUAACGCGUGGGUAACCUGCCUUGUACAGGGGGAUAACAGUUGGAAACGGCUGCUAAUACCGCAUAAGCGCACGGCAUCGCAUGAUGCAGUGUGAAAAACUCCGGUGGUAUAAGAUGGACCCGCGUUGGAUUAGCUAGUUGGUGAGGUAACGGCCCACCAAGGCGACGAUCCAUAGCCGACCUGAGAGGGUGACCGGCCACAUUGGGACUGAGAUACGGCCCAA